UACAGAGGUCUCGAGCGUUGUUCGGAUUCAUUGGGCGUAAAGGGCGCGUAGGCGGCGGGGUAAGUCUGGUGUGAAAUCUAGGAGCUCAACUCCUAAACUGCACUGGAUACUGCUCUGCUGGAGGACUGGAGAGGAGACUGGAAUUCACGGUGUAGCAGUGAAAUGCGCAGAUAUCAGGAAGAACACCCGUGGCGAAGGCGGUUCUCUGGGACGGUACUGACGCUGAGACGCGAAAGCGUGGGGAGCGAACAGG
This 253-nucleotide ribosomal RNA is filed under the name uncultured bacterium. RNAcentral's name for it is "partial 16S ribosomal RNA". It matches the Rfam family "Bacterial small subunit ribosomal RNA", at positions 524 to 776 of the family's 1533-position model. The record is from RNAcentral.